RNAcentral lists this ribosomal RNA (544 nucleotides) under uncultured bacterium. RNAcentral describes it as "bacterial SSU rRNA". It matches the Rfam family "Bacterial small subunit ribosomal RNA", at positions 777 to 1319 of the family's 1533-position model. The record is from RNAcentral.
AAUAGAUACCCGGGUAGUCCACGCCGUAAACGAUGAGUGCUAAGUGUUAGGGGGUUUCCGCCCCUUAGUGCUGCAGCUAACGCAUUAAGCACUCCGCCUGGGGAGUACGGUCGCAAGACUGAAACUCAAAGGAAUUGACGGGGGCCCGCACAAGCGGUGGAGCAUGUGGUUUAAUUCGAAGCAACGCGAAGAACCUUACCAGGUCUUGACAUCCCACUGACCGCUAUGGAGACAUAGUUUUCCCUUCGGGGACAGUGGUGACAGGUGGUGCAUGGUUGUCGUCAGCUCGUGUCGUGAGAUGUUGGGUUAAGUCCCGCAACGAGCGCAACCCUUGAUCUUAGUUGCCAUCAUUUAGUUGGGCACUCUAAGGUGACUGCCGGUGACAAACCGGAGGAAGGUGGGGAUGACGUCAAAUCAUCAUGCCCCUUAUGACCUGGGCUACACACGUGCUACAAUGGACGGUACAAACGGUUGCCAACCCGCGAGGGGGAGCUAAUCCGAUAAAACCGUUCUCAGUCCGGAUUGUAGGCUGCAACUCGCCUAC